CCCCUGCCCCCCUCGCAGGGCUUCACCUACCUCUUUACCAUGGUGUACAGGACGACGCGCUGGCCGGAGGCCGUCCCGCUCUCCUCAACGACAGCCCCCGACCUGGCCCGGGCGUUCAUCGCGGUGUGGGUCUCCCGCUACGGCACUCCUGCUGACCUCUCCUCUGACCGUGGCCCGCUUUUUUCUUCAGAGCUGUGGGCGGCGGUGGCGGAGAAUCUGGGGGUCAAGCUUCACCGCACUACUGCCUACCACCCGCAGGCUAACGGACUUGUGGAGCGCUUUCAUCGCUCCAUGAAGGCUGCCCUUCGAGCCAGCCUCACGGACAGCAACUGGCUCGACAAACUGCCGUGGGUCAUGCUAGGGCUCAGGACAGCGCCCAAGGAGGACCUACGGUCAUCGUCGGCCGAGCUGGUAUUCGGACAGGCGCUGCGGGUCCCUGGUGACUUCAUCCCCAAGUCGACCGAGCCCUGGUCCGCCUCCACUCAGCGUGCCUCCCUGCUGGACGGCGCCAGGUCCUUAGCCCCGGUCCCGACCACACGGCAUGGCGUCCCUGCUUCGCGGGUGCCACCGGAGCUGCAGUCAGCGGGUUAUGUUUUCAUCCACCACGACGGCCACAGGGCUCCGCUACGACCUCCCUAUGACGGACCCUUCCGUGUCAUCGAGGCAGGAGCCAAGAACUUCAUGGUUGACAUGGGGGGUAAGCCUGAGUGUGUGUCUGUUGGUUGCCUCAAACCGGCUCACUUGGACCUUGAACUGCCCCCGGACUUGGCUCUGCCACUGCGCAGGGGCCGCCCCCCCCCUGUCCUACCCCCCCUGCCACGCCGUGGCCGUCCCCCCCCUCCAACCCCUACAAGCCCCCACAGCUUGCGGCCCUCCGGUUGUCGCUGCCCCCCGCCCCGCCCAACAAGAGGAUGUGAUGGACGAUGUCACGCCUCCUCCCGCACCUCCUGACUUUGCCUACAGGCGUAGGGGCCGGGCCAUAUGCCCUCCUCGCCGCGAGGAUUUUGAAUAUUGAGGUGAACACUGGGGGGGCUGGUGUAGUGACUACAUUAUGGGUUCUGGGUUAGGGUUAGGGUUAGAAA
This 1082-nucleotide long non-coding RNA is filed under the name Gadus morhua (Atlantic cod). RNAcentral describes it as "lncRNA (ENSGMOG00000035849.1)". The record is from RNAcentral. Lineage: Eukaryota; Metazoa; Chordata; Actinopteri; Gadiformes; Gadidae.